AACGAACGCUGGCGGCAUGCCUAACACAUGCAAGUCGAACGAGACCUUCGGGUCUAGUGGCGCACGGGUGCGUAACGCGUGGGAACCUGCCCUUAGGUUCGGAAUAACUCCCCGAAAGGGGUGCUAAUACCGGAUAAUGUCUUCGGACCAAAGAUUUAUCGCCUUUGGAUGGGCCCGCGUUGGAUUAGCUAGUUGGUAGGGUAAAAGCCUACCAAGGCGACGAUCCAUAGCUGGUCUGAGAGGAUGAUCAGCCACACUGGGACUGAGACACGGCCCAGACACCUACGGGAGGCAGCAGUGGGGAAUAUUGGACAAUGGGCGAAAGCCUGAUCCAGCAAUGCCGCGUGAGUGAUGAAGGCCUUAGGGUUGUAAAGCUCUUUUAACCGGGAUGAUAAUGACAGUACCGGGAGAAUAAGCUCCGGCUAACUCCGUA
This 433-nucleotide ribosomal RNA is filed under the name uncultured bacterium. RNAcentral's name for it is "partial 16S ribosomal RNA". It matches the Rfam family "Bacterial small subunit ribosomal RNA", at positions 29 to 507 of the family's 1533-position model. The record is from RNAcentral.